CUACGGGUUGUAAACUGCUUUUAUACAGGAAGAAACACUCCUACGUGUAAGRAACUUGACGGUACUGUAAGAAUAAGGAUCGGCUAACUCCGUGCCAGCAGCCGCGGUAAUACGGAGGAUCCAAGCGUUAUCCGGAAUCAUUGGGUUUAAAGGGUCCGCAGGCGUUUUUUAAGUCAGAGGUGAAAUCCUACAGCUUAACUGAUAGAACUGCCUUUGAUACUGAAAAACUUGAGUUAUUGUGAAGUGAGUUAGAAUGUGUAGUGUAGCGGUGAAAUGCAUAGAUAUCUACACAGAAUACCGAUUGCGAAGGCAGAUCUACUACAAUAUACUGACGCUCAUGGACGAAAGCGUGGGGAGCGAACAGGAUUAGAUACCCUGGUAGUCCACGCCGUAAACGAUGGAUACUAGCUGUUCGUCUAUCAUUGUCUAGAUGAAGUGGCUAUGCGAAAGUU
RNAcentral lists this ribosomal RNA (452 nucleotides) under uncultured Bacteroidota bacterium. RNAcentral describes it as "bacterial SSU rRNA". It matches the Rfam family "Bacterial small subunit ribosomal RNA", at positions 416 to 859 of the family's 1533-position model. Lineage: Bacteria; Pseudomonadati; Bacteroidota. The record is from RNAcentral.